RNAcentral lists this ribosomal RNA (497 nucleotides) under uncultured bacterium. RNAcentral's name for it is "partial 16S ribosomal RNA". It matches the Rfam family "Bacterial small subunit ribosomal RNA", at positions 28 to 507 of the family's 1533-position model. The record is from RNAcentral.
GAUGAACGCUGGCGGCGUGCCUAAUACAUGCAAGUCGAGCGAACAGACGAGGCGCUUGCUCCUCUGACGUUAGCGGCGGACGGGUGAGUAACACGUGGAUAACCUACCUAUAAGACUGGGAUAACUUCGGGAAACCGGAGCUAAUACCGGAUAAUAUAUUGAACCGCAUGGUUCAAUAGUGAAAGACGGUUUUGCUGUCACUUAUAGAUGCUUCCGCGCUGCAUUAGCUAGUUGUUAAGGUAACGGCUUACCAAGGCAACGAUGCGUAGCCGAACUGAGAGGGUGAUCGGCCACACUGGAACUGAGACACGGUCCAGACUCCUACGGGAGGCAGCAGUAGGGAAUCUUCCGCAAUGGGCGAAAGCAUGACGGAGCAACGCCGCGUGAGUGAUGAAGGUCUUCGGAUCGUAAAACUCUGUUAUUAGGGAAGAACAAAUGUGUAAGUAAAUAUGCACGUCUUGACGGUACCUAAUCAGAAAGCCACGGCUAACUACGUG